Molecule: non-coding RNA, 227 nt
Filed under: Bacillota bacterium
Lineage: Bacteria; Bacillati; Bacillota
Description: Firmicutes bacterium T-box sequence
Rfam family: T-box leader
About the family: Uncharged tRNA acts as the effector for transcription antitermination of genes in the T-box leader family. T-boxes are found upstream of many aminoacyl-tRNA synthetase genes and some amino acid biosynthetic genes usually in Gram-positive bacteria. The anticodon of a specific tRNA base pairs to a specifier sequence within the T-box motif, and the NCCA acceptor tail of the tRNA base pairs to a conserved bulge in the T-box antiterminator hairpin.
Source: RNAcentral
GUAACGGCACGGAAGGGAAGCAGUAAGCGGAGUGCGGAAGCUAAGAGAGGGAGCGGUGGGUGUAAGCUCCCGUGAUGCGCCGCCCAAGUCGUCCCGGAGCCUUGGACUGAACACAGCAGUAGGUCCCAACGGUAUGCCCUCCGUUAUCGGGGCGGGGCGCUUGCCCCAUGAGUGCGGGAGUCAUCCCGAACAACAGGUGGUACCACGGAUCACAGUCCGUCCUGUUC